Long non-coding RNA from Triticum dicoccoides, 1142 nucleotides. RefSeq lists it as uncharacterized. NCBI's taxonomy places the organism in Eukaryota, Viridiplantae, Streptophyta, Magnoliopsida, Poales, Poaceae. The transcript is spliced from 7 exons. The record is from RefSeq and is a predicted model, not a curated record.
UACGACACCUCCAUAGUCCAUAGAUCGCAUCUUCCUUCUUUUCUCCGCCUCUACGCACUGCAGCUCGCACCUCGCCAGUCGCCUCGACCCCGGCGUGUACGCGAUGCUACGUGCAUGUCGUCGGUAGCCUCGACCCGGUGCGCCCGCACUGCCUCCAGCAUAUCACCGGUGGCCUGGACCCCGGCGCGUCCGGGCUGCCGCCUCCACGUCGCCGGUCGCCUCGACCCCGGCGCUAACCACCCUGCCGCCUGCACAUCGCUGGUUAGCCUCGACCCCGGUGCACCCGCGCUGCUGCCUGCACAUCACCGAUCGCCAACGCAACUCCGCUGCUGCUUGGGUAUCGCAAUGAGUCAGCACAGGUAUGGAAACUUGACAACAUUAGCUCGGGAAAGAUGCCACUCACAGUUGAAUAAGUCUGGACUGGUAGACCAAGGUAUUGCUAGGCGGACCAUGCCAGAGAAAUCAAGUCAAAUAGCAGAUUUCAGCAGGAAAAGGGUUUCUCACAGGCCUGAUUUGCAAGAUGAGGAACUGUGGAAAAAGUACGAGUUAGCUGCAAAAGAUGGAAAUGAUGCGGCAACUAAUACACCAAUCUUGUUUACUGCAAAUUGGGAUGCGGAUGACUCCGGAACUAUGAAUGAUGAAGUUGAUGCCAGCAACGAUGGUGACAUGGGAAUGGUCCAAUAUUACUGACGCAGCUCCGAAACAUAUAUUUGAUGCAAUUAAGAUGUGUACAAAGAUGAGAUAUUAGACCAUGUCAAGAAACUUUGAAUCAACUGGCGUGGAGACUUGCACCGGCAUUUUGUGAAACCCAACAAGACUAUGCAGGAGGCUAUGAAAAAGUUGACAAUAUGGUGCAAGAAGUAUCAGAAAUUAAGCGUCUUCUGUCUGGUAGAUCUCUAACUGAUAGUUCUCAUGAGGACUGAUGAUCCACCAGAACAUACAUAAGCAUAAGGAGGCAUUUUAAUCGCUGGUGAAGAAUGAUAUCCAUUCAAAUAAGGAUGGUGUUCCUCUAUUGAAGACUAAUAAAUAAUAUCGUUUUUAGUUGUCUCGUUUUCCACAUAGAUAUGAUCAAGUACAUUCGUGAUAUAAGGAGUGCUUUUCACUCAAAUUUCUUACAAGAUAUUUAAAUUUCAGAAUUGUAU